This 370-nucleotide unclassified non-coding RNA is filed under the name uncultured fungus. RNAcentral's name for it is "sequence contains ITS1". The stretch from base 1 to 105 matches the Rfam family "5.8S ribosomal RNA", at positions 50 to 154 of the family's 154-position model. The record is from RNAcentral. Lineage: Eukaryota; Fungi.
GAAAUGCGAUACGUAGUGUGAAUUGCAGAAUUCCGUGAAUCAUCGAAUCUUUGAACGCAUAUUGCGCUCGAGGCUUCGGCCAAGAGCAUGUCUGCCUCAGCGUCGGGUUAAUAUCGCUCCCCAAACACACUGUGUGUAUGGGUAUAGCGGAUCUGGCUGUUCCAGCUAGGCACGUACACUUGUGUACAUAUGUGCUCUGGAUCAGCUGAAGUACAGAGGCUAACCAAGGACCUUUAAGGGCCGCAACUGGGUAGGCAACUUGUUGCUAUUCUUAGUUGUUGGUCUUGGACCCUGUGUUUGGCCCUCUAACCAGGAAUUAACCCUUCAUUUUCUCGACCUGAGCUCAGGCAAGAACACCCGCUGAACUUAA